CAUUUAAAAUCAUACUUGAACCAGAAGUACUUCUUAAGUUAUUAAAUGAUACAUAGUGUGAUUUGGUCAUAACAAGCAAGGUAUAUAUAUAUAGAGUCUUAUACAUAAUCAUAUAAAAAUAGAUACCACGGAAACAAAUAGUUGAGUCAACAGAUUUUUUUUAUCUUUUUCCAUACAAAGGGUUUAUAUUUGUUAAAAUUAGAAAAGAGAAAUCCUUUAUUUUUGCAACCCGAUCACUCUUUUGACUUGGGAAUCUAUUCUAUUUAUCAAUAUACUGUUUCUUUUACAUAUCUAUCUCCAUUCUAUAAAAGGAAAAAUAGUUAGGAUUCAAAAAAAAGAUAAUUCACUCAAAAAGGAAUCCUUUACCGAAUCAGUCACUAAUUCAUUUUUAACAUCUAAUUAGGUCAGGUAAUCAUUCAAAUUAAGAAUAUAAGUUCGUUGCCUUUUGUUUUCCUUAAAUUUGAGCUUAGUACUCUAUCCAUCUAUUCACUCGACCUAAUGGUAAAUGCAAAUUUUUUACCUUUACUAAAA
Molecule: long non-coding RNA, 531 nt
Filed under: Zostera marina
Lineage: Eukaryota; Viridiplantae; Streptophyta; Magnoliopsida; Alismatales; Zosteraceae
Description: long non-coding RNA (ZMAR_LNC004076)
Source: RNAcentral